Molecule: ribosomal RNA, 446 nt
Filed under: uncultured bacterium
Lineage: Bacteria
Description: bacterial SSU rRNA
Rfam family: Bacterial small subunit ribosomal RNA
Source: RNAcentral
GUCCAGACUCCUACGGGAGGCAGCAGUGGGGGAUAUUGCACAAUGGGGGAAACCCUGAUGCAGCGACGCCGCGUGAGCGAUGAAGUAUUUCGGUAUGUAAAGCUCUAUCAGCAGGGAAGAAGAUGACGGUACCUGACUAAGAAGCCCCGGCUAACUACGUGCCAGCAGCCGCGGUAAUACGUAGGGGGCAAGCGUUAUCCGGAUUUACUGGGUGUAAAGGGAGCGUAGACGGCGAUGCAAGCCAGAUGUGAAAGCCCGGGGCUCAACCCCGGGACUGCAUUUGGAACUGUGUGGCUGGAGUGUCGGAGAGGCAGGCGGAAUUCCUAGUGUAGCGGUGAAAUGCGUAGAUAUUAGGAGGAACACCAGUGGCGAAGGCGGCCUGCUGGACGAUGACUGACGUUGAGGCUCGAAAGCGUGGGGAGCAAACAGGAUUAGAUACCCCAGUA